AAAUUGUGCAGAGAGAGAUUUAGUUCCCACCUCUGCGCGAUCAUGAGGAUAUGGUGAAGAGGAUGGAGUUCGUGCCAUAACGUAAGAGGGCUCUGAAAGAGAAGGGGGAGCCGGUGACGCUGCUAAGGUAUUUGUAAGUUCAAACACCUCAGCAGGAUACUGUCUACGAGACUUAUGAGAGGUAUGAGAAACGGGUGGUUGUUGAUCG
Molecule: non-coding RNA, 208 nt
Organism: Schizosaccharomyces pombe (fission yeast)
Lineage: Eukaryota; Fungi; Ascomycota; Schizosaccharomycetes; Schizosaccharomycetales; Schizosaccharomycetaceae
Source: the annotation of a GenBank genome assembly